Molecule: ribosomal RNA, 478 nt
Filed under: uncultured bacterium
Lineage: Bacteria
Description: partial 16S ribosomal RNA
Rfam family: Bacterial small subunit ribosomal RNA
Source: RNAcentral
GAUGAACGCUGGCGGCGUGCUUAACACAUGCAAGUCGAACGGGAAUUCUCUUAUUGAAACUUCUGUCGAUUUAAUGUACGUCUAGUGGCGGACGGGUGAGUAACGCGUGGGUAACCUGACUUAUACAGGGGGAUAAGGGUCAGAAAUGGUUGCUAAUACCGCAUAAGCGCAGAGAGCUGCAUGGCUCAGUGUGAAAAACUCGGGUGGUAUAAGAUGGACCCGCGUUGGAUUAGCUGGUUGGUGGGGUAACGGCCCACCAAGGCGACGAUCCAUAGCCGGGCUGAUAGGGGGAACGGCCACAUUGGGACUGAGACACGGCCCAGACUCCUACGGGAGGCAGCAGUGGGGAAUAUUGCACAAUGGGGGAAACCCUGAUGCAGCGACGCCGCGUGAAGGAAGAAGUAUCUCGGUAUGUAAACUUCUAUCAGCAGGGAAGAUAGUGACGGUACCUGACUAAGAAGCCCCGGCUAACUACGUG